ACUCCUACGGGAGGCAGCAGUAGGGAAUCUUCCACAAUGGGCGCAAGCCUGAUGGAGCAACACCGCGUGAGUGAAGAAGGGUUUCGGCUCGUAAAGCUCUGUUGUUAAAGAAGAACACGUAUGAGAGUAACUGUUCAUACGUUGACGGUAUUUAACCAGGAAGUCACGGCUAACUACGUGCCAGCAGCCGCGGUAAUACGUAGGUGGCAAGCGUUAUCCGGAUUUAUUGGGCGUAAAGAGAGUGCAGGCGGUUUUCUAAGUCUGAUGUGAAAGCCUUCGGCUUAACCGGAGAAGUGCAUCGGAAACUGGAUAACUUGAGUGCAGAAGAGGGUAGUGGAACUCCAUGUGUAGCGGUGGAAUGCGUAGAUAUAUGGAAGAACACCAGUGGCGAAGGCGGCUACCUGGUCUGCAACUGACGCUGAGACUCGAAAGCAUGGGUAGCGAACAGGAUUAGAUACCCUGGUAGGAUAGCG
RNAcentral lists this ribosomal RNA (473 nucleotides) under uncultured bacterium. Its description in RNAcentral is "bacterial SSU rRNA". It matches the Rfam family "Bacterial small subunit ribosomal RNA", at positions 335 to 801 of the family's 1533-position model. The record is from RNAcentral.